ACGUAGGGAGCGAGCGUUGUCCGGAAUUACUGGGCGUAAAGGGCGCGUAGGCGGGUAUUUAAGUCAGAUGUGAAAGCUCCGGGCUUAACUUGGAGAGUGCAUUUGAAACUGGAUAUCUUGAGGGCAGGAGAGGAAAGUGGAAUUCCUAGUGUGCGGGUGUAAGGCGUGUAUAUAGGGAGGAACACCAGGGGGGAGGGCGACUUUCGGGAUUUUACCGACGCUGAGGCGCGAAAGCAUGGGGAGCAAACGG
This 250-nucleotide ribosomal RNA is filed under the name uncultured prokaryote. Its description in RNAcentral is "partial 16S rRNA". It matches the Rfam family "Bacterial small subunit ribosomal RNA", at positions 525 to 775 of the family's 1533-position model. The record is from RNAcentral.